Molecule: ribosomal RNA, 251 nt
Filed under: uncultured bacterium
Lineage: Bacteria
Description: partial 16S ribosomal RNA
Rfam family: Bacterial small subunit ribosomal RNA
Source: RNAcentral
UACGUAGGGUCCGAGCGUUGUCCGGAAUUACUGGGCGUAAAGAGCUCGUAGGUGGUUUGUCGCGUUGUUCGUGAAAACUCACAGCUUAACUGUGGGCGUGCGGGCGAUACGGGCAGACUUGAGUACUGCAGGGGAGACUGGAAUUCCUGGUGUAGCGGUGGAAUGCGCAGAUAUCAGGAGGAACACCCGGUGGCGAAGGCGGGUCUCUGGGCGUACUGACGCUGAGGAGCGAAAGCUGGGGAGCGAACAGG